RNAcentral lists this ribosomal RNA (462 nucleotides) under uncultured bacterium. RNAcentral's name for it is "partial 16S ribosomal RNA". It matches the Rfam family "Bacterial small subunit ribosomal RNA", at positions 28 to 507 of the family's 1533-position model. The record is from RNAcentral.
GACGAACGCUGGUGGCGUGCUUAACACAUGCAAGUCGAGCGGUAAGGCCUUUCGGGGUACACGAGCGGCGAACGGGUGAGUAACACGUGGGUGAUCUGCCCUGCACUUCGGGAUAAGCCUGGGAAACUGGGUCUAAUACCGGAUAUGACCUCCUAUCGCAUGGUGGGUGGUGGAAAGAUUUAUCGGUGCAGGAUGGGCCCGCGGCCUAUCAGCUUGUUGGUGGGGUAAUGGCCUACCAAGGCGACGACGGGUAGCCGACCUGAGAGGGUGACCGGCCACACUGGGACUGAGACACGGCCCAGACUCCUACGGGAGGCAGCAGUGGGGAAUAUUGCACAAUGGGCGAAAGCCUGAUGCAGCGACGCCGCGUGAGGGAUGACGGCCUUCGGGUUGUAAACCUCUUUCAGCAGGGACGAAGCGCAAGUGACGGUACCUGCAGAAGAAGCACCGGCUAACUACGUG